This 72-nucleotide transfer RNA is filed under the name candidate division CPR3 bacterium. RNAcentral describes it as "tRNA-Glu". It matches the Rfam family "tRNA". From Rfam's summary of the family: Transfer RNA (tRNA) molecules are approximately 80 nucleotides in length. Their secondary structure includes four short double-helical elements and three loops (D, anti-codon, and T loops). Lineage: Bacteria; candidate division CPR3. The record is from RNAcentral.
GGCCUCAUCGUCUAGUGGUUAGGACGUCAGCUUUUCAAGCUGAAAACCGGGGUUCGAUCCCCCGUGGGGCUG